GCGCCUGUAGCUCAGGGGAUAGAGCGUCUGCCUCCGAAGCAGAAGGCCGCAGGUUCAAUUCCUGCCAGGCGCA
This 73-nucleotide transfer RNA is filed under the name Deltaproteobacteria bacterium. Its description in RNAcentral is "tRNA-Arg". It matches the Rfam family "tRNA". From Rfam's summary of the family: Transfer RNA (tRNA) molecules are approximately 80 nucleotides in length. Lineage: Bacteria; Pseudomonadati; Myxococcota; Myxococcia. The record is from RNAcentral.